ACGGAGGGUGCAAGCGUUAAUCGGAAUUACUGGGCGUAAAGCGCACGCAGGCGGUCUGUUAAGCUAGAUGUGAAAGCCCCGCGCUCAACGUGGGAUGGUCAUUUAGAACUGGCAGACUAGAGUUUUGGAGAGGAGAGUGGAAUUUCUGGUGUAGCGGUGAAAUGCGUAGAUAUCAGAAGGAACAUCAGUGGCGAAGGCGACUCUCUGGUCAAUAACUGACGCUCAUGUGCGAAAGUGUGGGUAGCGAACGGG
RNAcentral lists this ribosomal RNA (252 nucleotides) under uncultured bacterium. RNAcentral describes it as "partial 16S ribosomal RNA". It matches the Rfam family "Bacterial small subunit ribosomal RNA", at positions 525 to 776 of the family's 1533-position model. The record is from RNAcentral.